This 506-nucleotide long non-coding RNA is filed under the name Ictidomys tridecemlineatus (thirteen-lined ground squirrel). Its description in RNAcentral is "lncRNA (ENSSTOG00000029505.1)". Lineage: Eukaryota; Metazoa; Chordata; Mammalia; Rodentia; Sciuridae. The record is from RNAcentral.
UGCAGCAGGAGCGGCUACCCAAGCGGCCGCAGCCUCUUCCUCCUCCUUCUUCUCCUCCGCCGCCGCUGCCACUGCCACCGCCGCGGCCGCCGCCUCCACCCUGCCUCCUCCCAGCCUCCGCCCCGUCCCCUCCUCCUCCGCCCUCGAACUUAGUCAGCGGUUCGCGCCUCCGCGCGCCUAUUGGCCGGCGGAACGCGACGCGUCACAAUGGAGCCGGUCGGAGGCGGCGAGCCCGGCAGCGCCGGGGCUUCCCGCUGAGUCCGCAGCCCCGGGCAGCCGGGAAAGUGCGGGCGCAGGCCGCCGCCGGCGCGCCUGGAGAGGCGCGGGGCGCGGGGCGCACGCUGCGGAGAGCGCCGGCGCCCGGGGCUGGAGUCGCGCAGGAAUUCCUCAAAUUGAAACUAAUUGCAGAGUUUCUGGUUGACCAGCAUUCAUAGGGUAAGAUUAACGUCCUGAAUUGUGAACACAUGUAAAAAUAAUUACAAUUAGGUUGGUAGCUUGGGGCAAGU